AGAGCGAACGCUGGCGGCGUGCUUAACACAUGCAAGUCGAACGCGCAGCAUUCUGUAGCAAUACAGGGUGUGGGCGCGUGGCGAACGGGUGCGUAACACGUGGAUAACCUUCCUUCAGGUGGGGAAUAACCCAGUGAAAAUUGGGCUAAUACCGCAUAACAAAACGAUGAGACAUCUUGUUGUUUUCAAAGGCGCAAGUCGCCAGAAGAGGGAUCCGCGGCCGAUUAGCUUGUUGGCGGGGUAAUGGCCCACCAAGGCAAUGAUCGGGUA
RNAcentral lists this ribosomal RNA (270 nucleotides) under uncultured bacterium. RNAcentral describes it as "partial small subunit ribosomal RNA". It matches the Rfam family "Bacterial small subunit ribosomal RNA", at positions 26 to 286 of the family's 1533-position model. The record is from RNAcentral.